AAACGCUUGAAGUCAGUCGCAUUGAUCAGGGAUCAACCUUGCUUCUGCUUGGUGCACUUUCUGGUCAAUGGGUCAGCAUCAAUUUUGACCAGUGGAGAAAGGUCAAGGGAAUGUGGCAUCUUUGGAUGUGUUAUAGCUCUUGGUCAUAUACAUUGGUUGGGAUUGAGGAACUCAGCACGCCGCAAGG
This 187-nucleotide ribosomal RNA is filed under the name Entoloma sp. Its description in RNAcentral is "partial large subunit ribosomal RNA". Lineage: Eukaryota; Fungi; Basidiomycota; Agaricomycetes; Agaricales; Entolomataceae. The record is from RNAcentral.